UUUGCAUUUGCUCUUACUGAGUACUGCCUAACCUCUGCUGUAGUGAGUUAGAAUUCAGUUAAUUGGGAUUUUCAUACUAAUACAUUCUUUCAGCUUGGUCUCUUCCAGACAUUCAUCCCGUGAGACCUCUGUGACCACGUCUCUGCUGGGACCUGUCAUCUCAGAAUCCCUAAGACAUAGGAAGAAAUCUGCAGUCUUAAGAGUGGAGAGGUAUGUUCUCAUUUUAAUAUGUUAAAUUCAUAUUAAU
RNAcentral lists this long non-coding RNA (247 nucleotides) under Anas platyrhynchos platyrhynchos (common mallard). RNAcentral's name for it is "lncRNA (ENSAPLG00000031004.1)". The record is from RNAcentral. Lineage: Eukaryota; Metazoa; Chordata; Aves; Anseriformes; Anatidae.